RNAcentral lists this long non-coding RNA (760 nucleotides) under Vigna radiata. Its description in RNAcentral is "long non-coding RNA (VRAD_LNC012109)". The record is from RNAcentral. Lineage: Eukaryota; Viridiplantae; Streptophyta; Magnoliopsida; Fabales; Fabaceae.
UGGAGAGGGCAAGGGAGCUCCGCAUUGUGGCUGGAGAUGGCCCCGGCGGCAUGCGGUGUCGUUGACGGAGCCCUGUCUCGCUGCUUGCGGUGGCUGGCAUUGUCAGCGGUGGUGUGGGCACAGCGAAAGGGGAAAGUUUUCUCCUCGGCAGGUAGUGGCUCCAGCGACGAUGGCGUCGUCGGCGAGAGGGAGCGGCUCACAAGGGUUGAUUCCGGCGGUGCGUUGGCAGCCGGCGCUGUUGACGAUACCUCGAGGUGCGGCUUGCAGUGGCUGAGAUGGUGGUCGGCUCGUGCUCGCACCGGAGAGAAGGCAAUGCCUCUGCAUUUUCGUGGUUCUCAAAUGGGAGGCCUCCUCUUGGUUUGGGGGUGGAAGAAACCCUAAUGGGUUCUGACUAAGGGGCAUUGGGCCUGCUUAAAAAAAAAAUAAUAGUAAUAAUGAUAAUAAUAAACAGACAUCUCUGCCGCACCCCCUUUUGCCUCCAAGUGCACCCCUUUUCCCUCUUGCAGCCCCCUGUUUUAUUUGCACACCCUUUGUUCAUUUGGGCUCUGGCCCAAUCUGGUUACAAACAACAAUUCCUUCUUGCCACCUCCUGUUCGCUAUUCACACCACCUGUCCCUUUCUGCAAACAAAAGAAGAUUGGGCCUGACCAGCAACUACUACAUGCCACCCCCUAACAGACUACAAGGCCAGAAGCUUCAAUAUUUUUCAACACCACCGGUUUUAAUCUCUGCACCCCUAUUCUUAUUGGGCUUGGACUGUG